GAUGAUGGUGACAAUGAUGAUAAUGGAGAGGACAAUGACAGUGAUGUUAUGAUAGCAGAACAUGAAGGCUAAGAAAGAUUAUACUCCAAGAGAAAAGAAAGAAGGAUGACUGUGUUUGACUUAAAAUUCAUGCUCCUAAAUAGACAACAUUUCUUACAUACUGGGAUGAGUAGGAGAGACCCUGCUUGUCACUGCUAGACCACCUGGGACUCUUCUUCACUGGCAUGGCCACCUGCAGCUGUUUCCAGAACCUGCCCUGAGGAUACUUGGAUUUCUCCCCUUUCCAUUUAAUGACCGAUAACCAAAGAAGCCCAGUGUUACGAUCAAUGGCAGAAACAUCAUUCACUUCCUAUAUUGGCUGCAACCUUGUAGCUGAAGACAUUGAGAAAGAUACAGAGUGUAUGCUGGAUAUGAAGCAGAAGGAAAAAUGCCUCCAGGCAAAGCAAAUGGGUAGGCAGGAACCAAGGCCAUGGAAAGAAGCCAAUAAACCCAACCCCAUCUUCAUACACCAUUGCCGUAUAUCACUUCUUGUGAAGAAUGUUCUCAAAGACAGAACCUCUCUGCAUACCACCUCCUUCCUCCCACUUCAGCUAGGCCACUGAGGUCAGUCCAACAAAGAAAACUGCUGAUUGAGUGGAGAAUCAGAAGCCCAAAGAAUCAGAGAAGACCAUUGACAACCACACACCAAACAUGUGACUGAUAUCUAGAUUAUACAAAGAACCUCCAAAAAUGAAAUGUCAAGGAAUCAAACAACUCAAUCAAAAAGACAUUGUGGUGCUGAUUCUGUCUCAGCAAGUGAGAAUGACUGUCAUCGUCAUCACCACCACCACUACCACCACCACCAUCAUCAUCAUAAGAUGGGAGCUGGGGAAAAGGGAAGCCUAUCUACUGUUGAUGUGCAUAUCAACUGGAAAUCAGUGUGAAUGGAUCUCAAAAAAAUAAAAACAGGACUACAUGACCCA
This is a long non-coding RNA of Mastomys coucha (southern multimammate mouse), 962 nucleotides long. RefSeq lists it as uncharacterized. NCBI's taxonomy places the organism in Eukaryota, Metazoa, Chordata, Mammalia, Rodentia, Muridae. The record is from RefSeq and is a predicted model, not a curated record. The transcript is spliced from 6 exons.